UCGAACGGUAACAGGAAGCAGCUUGCUGCUUCGCUGACGAGUGNCGGACGGGUGAGUAAUGUCUGGGAAACUGCCUGAUGGAGGGGGAUAACUACUGGAAACGGUAGCUAAUACCGCAUAACGUCGCAAGACCAAAGAGGGGGACCUUCGGGCCUCUUGCCAUCGGAUGUGCCCAGAUGGGAUUAGCUAGUAGGUGGGGUAACGGCUCACCUAGGCGACGAUCCCUAGCUGGUCUGAGAGGAUGACCAGCCACACUGGAACUGAGACACGGUCCAGACUCCUACGGGAGGCAGCAGUGGGGAAUAUUGCACAAUGGGCGCAAGCCUGAUGCAGCCAUGCCGCGUGUAUGAAGAAGGCCUUCGGGUUGUAAAGUACUUUCAGCGGGGAGGAAGGUGUUGAGGUUAAUAACCUCANCAAUUGACGUUACCCGCAGAAGAAGCACCGGCUAACUCCGUGCCAGCAGCCGCGGUAAUACGGAGGGUGCAAGCGUUAAUCGGAAUUACUGGGCGUAAAGCGCACGCAGGCGGUCUGUCAAGUCGGAUGUGAAAUCCCCGGGCUCAACCUGGGAACUGCAUUCGAAACUGGCAGGCUAGAGUCUUG
Molecule: ribosomal RNA, 600 nt
Filed under: bacterium Ca.S7
Lineage: Bacteria
Description: bacterial SSU rRNA
Rfam family: Bacterial small subunit ribosomal RNA
Source: RNAcentral